UUAGAUACCCCACUAUGCCUAGCCAUUAACAAAAACAGUACAAACACAAUACUGUUCGCCAGAGAACUACAAGCAAAAACUCGAAACUCCAAGGACUUGGCGGUGCUCCACAUCAUCCUAGAGGAGCCUGUCCUAUAAUCGAUACCCCCCGAUCAACCUCACCAUUCUUUGAAAUUCAGCCUAUAUACCGCCGUCAAUUCAGCCUACCUUAUGAAAGAAGAAAAGUAAGCAAAAGAGUCAUUGACUAAAACAUCAGGUCAAGGUGUAGCAUAUAGAAUGGCAGAGAUGGGCUACACUCUCUAAAACAGAAGAAACGAAUGGCACAAUGAAACACGUGCCUGAAGGCGGAUUUAGCAGUAAGACAAGCGAGAGAACUUGUCUUAAACCAGCUCUGGAGCGCGCACACACCGCCC
This 413-nucleotide ribosomal RNA is filed under the name Emoia atrocostata (littoral whiptail-skink). Its description in RNAcentral is "partial 12S ribosomal RNA". It matches the Rfam family "Bacterial small subunit ribosomal RNA", at positions 778 to 1395 of the family's 1533-position model. Lineage: Eukaryota; Metazoa; Chordata; Lepidosauria; Squamata; Scincidae. The record is from RNAcentral.